AUGAACGCUGGCGGCGUAGAUAAGGCAUACAAGUCGUACGGUUUAUUUGAACUUUCGCAAGAAGGUUUGAAUGAACAGUGGCAAACGGGUUAAUAACACCCUGGUACAUACCCAUAAGAUCUGGAUAGCCCGUCGAAAGACGGAGUAAUACGGAAUAGUCCCUUCGGGGUAAAGACGCAAGUCACUUAUGGAUUGGCCUAGGUCCUAUCAGCUAGUUGGCGGGUUAAAGGCCCACCAAGGCUAUGACGGGUAGGGGGUGUGAGAGCAUGACCCCCAACAAGGGAACUGAGAACGGUCCCUACUCCUACGGGAGGCAGUAGCCGAGAAUAUUCGGCAAUGGGCGAAAGCCUGACCGAGUGACGCCGCGUGCAAGAUGAAGUCUUUCGGGAUGUAAAUUGCUUUUAAUUGGGAUAAACCCCAUGUAUUUGGGGAUGAUAGUACCAAUUGAAUAAGAGAUUGCUAACUACGU
RNAcentral lists this ribosomal RNA (469 nucleotides) under uncultured bacterium. RNAcentral's name for it is "partial 16S ribosomal RNA". It matches the Rfam family "Bacterial small subunit ribosomal RNA", at positions 29 to 506 of the family's 1533-position model. The record is from RNAcentral.